RNAcentral lists this long non-coding RNA (1071 nucleotides) under Athene cunicularia (burrowing owl). RNAcentral's name for it is "lncRNA (ENSACUG00000000039.1)". The record is from RNAcentral. Lineage: Eukaryota; Metazoa; Chordata; Aves; Strigiformes; Strigidae.
UUAUCAAAAUACAAAUGCUUGUGAUUUGAGCCCUUCAUUUAUUAUAUUCCACCCACCCUGCUCAUCAUACUCUUUGUCGUAGAGAGUGUGUCCCUUGCUGCCACCAAACCGCUCCAAGAAGCCCAGUGAAAUGGAGCAGCCUCUCUCCUGCAACCCACACUCUCUGGGGUGACUUCGUCCAGCAGACUUGUCUUCUGCUUCCCGUGACCAGAUGCGUUGCGUACUGCAGUGUAAUACUGACGGACUGAGCUGGCAGAGAACGUGGACAUUCAUGAUAGAGCCUCUAAGCAUGGAAGACUCUUGCUGAAGCAAGGAAGUCUGUACUGGAUCUGAGUGACUAGGAGAUCAUCCACCGAUGGUCAACUUUGAUUCGGUACUAAGCAGCCAGUCUAAAAACCACAAGGGAGUGCUUUUGUGUUGGAAAAUGUGUCAUGCUCGCCAAGCUGUUCACAGAAUCAACUAGGUUGGAAAGGACCUUGAAGAUCAUCCAGUCCAACCGUUAACCCAGCACUGACAGUUCCCAGCUCCCCCAGAUCCCUCAGCGCUGUGUCGAUCCUACUCUUAAACACCUCCAGGGAGAGAUAAUGGGAAGCAUUAUGUUCAGAUAAUGGGAAGCACAGCUGAGAAACCUGCGGCUUCCAGGUCAGGUAGGAUGCAGAACUUCUUUUUGUGAAGCCUCUGGAAAAAAACCACGGAUGGCUGUAGUGGACCAAUGUCUUGCCUCUCAUCAGGACCCAUCCCACUACCCUGUUUCAUGAGCUGACCCAACAGUGCUGUGUGCUGUGAGCUUCUCCCCAGCACGUGGGCAUAUAUAAUAAUGUUAUAAAACUUUUCCACUGGCAAAAAUACAAGGUGAGGGGUGUUUUUUUGUGUGUGUGAAAUUUCUCUCUCUCCUCUAUUAGUGUUUUGCUUAUCUUCAGGCCUUUCUUCUCAAAUACCAGCAGAUUGCUGACCAGCUUCCCUUCUUCAGGGAAAACAUGUCUUUGUGGUGAAGAUCACAUCAUCUGGGUGAGAUGGUCUCUAUGACCCCAGGCAAAUAAAUCACUUGCUUUGUUCUUUGACUUGGCUCUC